UAGGGAAUCUUCCACAAUAGACGAAGUCUGAUGGAGCAACGCCGCGUGAGUGAAGAAGGGUUUCGGCUCGUAAACUCUGUUGUUAAAGAAGAACAUAUCUGAGAGUAACUGUUCAGGUAUUGACGGUAUUUAACCAGAAAGCCACGGCUAACUACGUGCCAA
Molecule: ribosomal RNA, 162 nt
Filed under: uncultured bacterium
Lineage: Bacteria
Description: partial 16S rRNA
Rfam family: Bacterial small subunit ribosomal RNA
Source: RNAcentral